This is an RNA transcript of Dunckerocampus dactyliophorus (ringed pipefish), 9383 nucleotides long. It is a transcript of the gene named dynein light chain Tctex-type 2B, with no coding region annotated. NCBI's taxonomy places the organism in Eukaryota, Metazoa, Chordata, Actinopteri, Syngnathiformes, Syngnathidae. The transcript is spliced from 7 exons. The record is from RefSeq and is a predicted model, not a curated record.
AUUUCCGGUCUCGAUCAGUAACUUCACUGCUCUUGUGUACGGAAGUACUCGCUCUUUUUCCAUGAAAGUACUUGAAUUUUGGGGGUGUGUUGUCGACGUGCCAUGGAGGGGUCAGAUACAUACCUCAUACGACCCAACUACCAGCACAAAUUCAAGCCUGCUGUCGUGAAGGAAUGUAUACAUGAAAUACUGAAGAAGCGCCUCGCCGAGGAGGAGUACGACCCAGAAGAAGUAUCAGAGCUGACCAGCACAUUGGCAGACUGCAUUAAGGACAAAGUCAAGAGUUUGGGGUUUGACAGAUACAAGUUUGUUGUGCAGGUGACCAUUGGAGAGCAACGUGGGCAAGGAGUCAAGAUGUCUUCAAGGUGUUUAUGGGAUGCGGAUACCGACAAUUAUGCAGAAGACGUUUUCAUGAAUGACUCCUUGUUCUGUGCUGUGGCAGUCUUUGGAAGCUAUUUCUACUAAGGAGCAUGGAGGCAGAGGCAGCUGCUGAGACUCACUUGUUGCAGGCGUUUUCUGUGUUGGAUCCAGCAGCCUCACUGCUGAGACACACGAGCAACAGCUUCUGAACACCUUCCAUGGAUGGUACUUACUGUUGAUGAGGGCUUACAGUACAUCCUGGCGAGAUCGUCGACAUGGACACCAUCAUGACCUCUUUCUUGAAUUCAGUAGUGGUCUUCACCCUCUUUGGAAUGUCACUGUCACUUGCAACCUUCUUUGGACUCAUAGCCGCUUAUUUAGAGUUCAUUGCACUCAGUGAAAAAAAUGCACGAACAGCAGUCAUGAACGCCGAGGGUCCAUGGUUUAGGCUACUUCAUAGCCUUAUACCGUAUGUAUUGGAUGUGCCUUCCAGGCUGCUGUAGUGAGAUUUCGUCUACUGGCGUGAUUCAAGAUGGCUAUGUAAACAAACCAAGCACUAAUACGACGUUUGUUACGCGUGCCAUAUUGCACGCUAACCAAGCGGGCAAACCCAAACCAAGGCAAAAAUUUGGGAUGUUAACCGAAAAACGCGUGAACCGGGGCGGAUGUUAACUGAGGUACCACUGUACGUGGAAUCUACAAUUUCAGCAUAAUUCACUGUGCUCUACGUUGACUCCUGAGUUUCAGUUACCGUUCGUGAGAGAUGCCCUGGUAAAAAUCACACGUGAACGUCGACACAAUCUCCAGAAAUAAACGCCCUGGCAAGUACAUUUCCUCAGAAGCCCCCAUCCAAGAAUUUUUACACGGCCCUCAGAAGUAAACUUCUUGGCAAGAACAAAUAUGCCGAAUGAAAGAACAAGCGCAUGCAUACUUCGAUUUUUUGCGAGUAGUCACCCCUACGUAGUCAGUAUUCCCAAGUCCAACACCCAGUAUCACCUUUCUUCCUACAUCCCAAGAACAGCCAGGUUGUGGAACUCCCUCCCGCCAACCAUGUUUCCAGAGACUCCUAACAUCAACUGUUUCAAGUCAGCAGUUAAUGCACAUUUUUUGAAUGAUAUUAUUAGUGAAUGAAAUACAAAUCGGCUUUUUGUGUUGUUGGUAUUUAUAUAUUAAAUUUAAGGGCCGCUUUUCAUCUUCUGUCAAAAAAAAAACAAAAAACGGCUGACGACCUUAAAUGUGUUACGUGGCAGAGGUAGGAUUUCUCCUUUUGAGAAGGGUUACUUUACCCUUUUUUGUCAUAGCUUGCUGUGCAGCUUACGCUUGUGACUGCCCAAAGUCUGUCUUUGUGAUUUUCAAUUCUCACCACCUGUUGUCCACCCGCUCUUCUAUUCUAAUUCCAUUAUCAUCCCUCCUCACUGUCGUUACCGCUAAGUAGUGUGUUUAUAUGCAUCAUUUAUGCCCCGUUACCAUUGUCCCGCCGCCAGAUUGGAUUUCAUUCACUUGUAUCGAAACCCGAAGCUGCAUUGAUGUUCUAUUUCAUACACCCACUGUGACACUGACUGGAAAGUAAAUAUCUAAUGUUAAAAUUCAGCCAAUGUCUUGUACUACUAAAGUUACUAUGCACAUUUGCAACGCUGGCGAAAUGUAAAUGGGAAGCCACAUCUGUCUGAGAUGGUGCACUUGAUUUAUCACACAAAAUGACCUCGCGCUCUGUGCUGUAUUGCGUUUAACUAUGUGUCGUGGCAGAAAUGAUGUCAGGGACAAGACUACGUUGAAAUUGUUUUUCGUGUUUUCACAUAAAACUUGCUUUGCAUAUAGAUAUGGCACUAUAAAUAAUCUUUACAUGUAAUACUGUAGGAAUUAAAUCAUUACAGGUACUUUUUGAAGGUAGUCGCCAGUAGUGGGACCCGAUUAUAUUUGCUCAUCCAAUUCAUUCACAUCACAUUUGAAUUGAAUAACAAUAUUUGACACAGUAAGCAAUGUUUUUCAAUACCGAUACAUUGUGGCCGACAGCUGAAUCAAUAAAUUGGCAUCUAUGUGCACGUAAACAAAAAUACCAUUUUCCAUCACACUACUACAGUGGUGUGAAAAAGUGUUUUCCCCCUCCCUGAUUUAUUUAUUUUUUUGCAUGUUUGUCACACGUAAAUGUUUCAGAUCAUCAAACAAAUGUAAAUAUUAGUUAAUGACAACACAACUGAACACAAAAUGCAGUUUUUAAAUGAAACUUUUUAUUAUUAAAGGCGGGGAAAAUAAGAAAUCAGGAUGGGGGCAAACACUAUUUCACUAUUUCACACCACUGUAUGAUAUGACUUUAUUUUGUCACAUAACUUUUUUCACAACUUAAUUUUCCAAAAAUGACAACUUUAUUUGUUGUUUUCUGUGAUUUUCAUAAUAAUUUGUCUUUAAAAAAAAAUAUUUUUUUCUUUAAUAUUUCAACUUUAUGCUACUGAAAACGUCAUCAUGAUAUCACGUUCUUGUAAGACUUUUUCUCGUUAAUUACAACUUUUUUCUCUUCAAAUUUUCACUUGAUGCUGUUUUUUUUUUUUUUUUAAGUUUUCUUGUUAAAUUAUACUUUUUGAAUGUGCAGCGAGCCAAUAACAAAACAGAUGCGGGCUGCAAAUGGCCCCCGGACCGCACUUUGGACACCCGGGGGCUAGUAUGUAUUUGCAUUGAGAAUAAGUUGAAUUAAAAGACACUCUUUUGUAAGUUUACCAAUGUAUUCGAACUGCGUAGUGUCGUCACGAGUGUCGAAAAUCACAUUUGUCAAACUGCUUGUGUUGGCUUCUACUAAAACAAAUUCAACUGCAUUUUAUAACUGUUCAUAAUCGAAAACUUUAUUACGCAAACAGUUGAGUCCACAACAUGAAGGCACACAGCAGUCAAGACAUUUCGCUACUGUACGUUUUCAUUCACUUUACAUUCAAGCCACUGGAAUCAGCACACUUACGUCAAUGGGAAGGUCUUACAAAAUACUCCAUAGAACAAGACGGUGUGUCACUUACAGCGCCAUCUACCAUUGAACAUGAUUUCACGUACCGUUUUCAAUGAAUUAGACAACCCGUAGAUUUUCCAUUGCACACACAUUUUUACACGCUUACUGCACCUGCAAAGAUGUGCGAAGCUCUUAGCCAGGGCCUGUUUACAGAUCAUUACGCCACUAAACAUCAAGAAGACCAAACAAGAGUGGACGUGCACAUAAAUACUAGCAAAGGCAUUAAGACUUUUUAAUGAUGCACUGUAAUUCUCAGCCGGAAUUGUUGUUUUUAGCAAAUCCUCCCCCCCUUUUUUUUUUUUAAGUCUGGGGUGAUGUAUGUUCAUUUGACUUUUGACCAAGGUGUACAUUUAUUCAUGACAAUAAUAAUAAUAAUACUUUGAAUUUGUAAGCAGCUUUCUCAAACACAAGGACUAGGGCUGUAACGAUUCAUUUUCAUAACGAUUCGAUUCGUAUCACGAUUCGUGGUUGCCAAUACGAUUCAAGGACGAAAUUGGUUUAUUUAGAAGGAUACGAUCCGAAACGAUUCAGUAACUUUAAAUCGAUUCAGUAAGUUUUUAGCCAAAAAUUCAACCAGUGUGAUUGUGAAAUAAAUACCUGGAUACUGGACCGUGCAGGUGACGGUCCAGGUGACUAGACUCCUCGUUGUUUUUGGUAAUAGAAUCAGGUAUGAAUUAAUUAUGGAUAUAAAACAAACAAGUAAACAACAAUUAAUGGCAAAUGCAUUCGCAUUUUAUUUGAAUCCAGCGCAACCAACACUUCAGGUUGAAUUAACGAUGAAUGAAUUCACAGGUUGAAUUAAAUCAAGUCUGUGAUUAAUUCUAUCUGAUAAAACAUGACUUGCACUAGAAUUUGAUACCUCAUUCACUUCUCUACCCCAAGUGUUAAAGACGUUGGAGCAGAUUUCAUAGCGGGAAGUAGUGCCUUUGGUUCCCAUUGCUUCCCAUUGAGUCAAGACAAAAGCUGUGAUCAACCCACGGACCUCGCUGUGGAACACACACGUAAACAAGAUGGCCGUGGCGCUCCGUCGCGGAAGAAGACGUGAGCGUCUUUGUCACAUACACAAGAAUGGACAGGCGACAGUGCACAAGGAUACGGGGGGAGACAAAUAUAACGCAGAGCGAUUUGUGAGGUCUGAUUAUUUUGAGUAGGCAUUUUUGUGAUGCAAAUAUACUACUCUUUUGAACGCAAAUUGUUUCGAGAAGCCAAACUCCUCACUUGUGUAACCCCAGCGAGUACCUGGAACUACAUUCCUCUGACCGAGCCUCUUUGUCCUGGCGCCGCUCCGCUCUAGUGUUUAUUGCAUCCUUGUUAAAACUCAUUGCUGCUGUCGUCCUUAUGCUACUUUCCUCAAACUUUAUGGAACAAACCGAAGAGUCAUUUAUUCCGUAAUGGCGCCCUCUAGCCGCGUAACUUCUGUCUUCCUUCGGCAUGUCCAGAAAUCCAACUUUUUGUGCAAUGUUUAGUUAGCAUCUACCUUUGCCUUUUGGGCGCAGAAGGUUUCAUCGACACUGUGAGAAAACUUGCAAACAUAGAAAGUUCAGAGUCACACCGCUAGCUGUUUGCUCGCGAUCGCAGACAACAGGGGACACGGCACGGAGGAGAUUGACUGACAAUGGUCUGCAGCCAAUCAGGACGCAGAACACAAUGCGUGGGUUUUUGCAAAAUUGCAAAAAAAUAUGUCUGAAACUGCAAGGCCGUGAAAGGUGAACUGCGAUGUAGUGAGGGACGACUGUAUCAAAGACGUUACUUUUUAAAAGUUGUAAUGUCAUGAAAAACAAAGAAAGUUGCAAUUUUGGGAAAAUUAGGUCGCAAAAAACUUAUGUUAUGAUAAUAAAAUCAAAAUAUGUAAAUAACGUCAUAAUUAUGAGGAAACAAAUGGCAGAGAUGGAAAAUAUAGCUGGAAUUGUACGCAAAUAAAGUCAAAGGAUUAAGAGAAAAAAGCGUCCGAAAAUGUCAAUUUUAGGAGAAUUAAAAAAAAAAAAUUGUUGGAAAAUUGGCUUGGUGAAAACGUCAAAAUAUCGGGGGAAUAAAGUCAAAAUACGAGAAGAAAAUUUACAAAACUUAUUUAAGAAGAAAGAUGAAAUACGCUGCUCGAAAAAAUGAAGGGAACACUAAAAUAACACAUCCUAGAUCUGAAUGAAUGAAAUAUUCUUAUUAAAUACUUUGUUCUUUACAUAUACUGUAUGUGCUGACAACUAAAUCACACAGAAAUUAUCAAUGGAAAUCAAAUGUAUUAUUAUUAUUAUUAUUAUUAUUAUUAUGCUGUGCUGUCCACGUGGUGUCUAUUUCCAUUUGCACAACAGCAUGUGAAAUUGAUUGUCAAUCUGUGUUGCUUCCAAAGUGGACAGUUUGAUUUCACACAAGUGUUCCCUUUAUUUUUGCGAGCAAGUCAUUUGUCGCCUACAUCACAAAGCUGAGAUGCAGGUUUUUCUUGACAUAUUCCUUCUUUCCAAUAUAUCAAAGUGGCCCUUGCAUCCCUUCAUUUUUCAGUAUGUUGUUCGCACACCCCUGACAUACGUUACAGUAAUUCGCCCUGUGCUUGUUCAUGCGGUAGUUGCCGUAUUUUCAGACAUGAAGCUGAAUCAGUCCAAUUGCGAAGGACAGGGAACGGAUGCGGUGGUUGAAAGUGAGACACUAUCUGAGCGUCAUGCAAUCCUUAACAUCAUAAGAAUGUGCUUAACAUGUGAUUGCCGUCUCUCUCACUGCCCGUUCUCCUUCUGCCUCCCCUUCCGCAACGUUUGGUCCAAUGUUUUGCGGGACAUCGUUGAUGGUACUGCGAAGCGUCACCCGAGUGACACUCAGCGAGUAUUUUCGAGGGACGAUGUGGUGCGGCCGAUGGCACAUGACCUCCUUGAACAUUUCUCGGAAGCGCGUGGACAUGAGGUUGUACAGGAUUGGGUUGACGGCGGAGCUGAGGUAGAAAAACACUCCAGAGAGGAUGUGCACAUACUGGAAGAUUUGCAGGCGGCUGUCGGUCCACUCGCUGAUGAAACUCCACACCAGGCGGUCGGUGUGAAACGGGGCCCAGCAGAUCCCAAAAACCACCACUAGAACAACUGCAAAAAAAAAAGGAAAAAUUAUUUUUGGGUGAUUAUUUUUUAUUUUAAUUACAUUUAAAAAAAUAUUUUGAAUCAUAGAUUUUUUCCCCACCAAGGUUCCAUUGUAUGGUACUGUACAUAUUCUUCUUCUAUUUUUGGUUUUAUACAUGUAUGCUUUUCAUUUCAAGCAUAACUUUCACUUUGACACAGUUCCUUUUUGCUUCUGUGACAGCUGAAAUAUCUAAACAACUAAAAUUUUCCCUACAAUGCGUAACCAUCUGCAUGCUACACCCCUCCAUGCUCUCGUACUUCCUCCUUGCUGUCGAGCUGUUAAAACAUGCAAAAGAUCCAUGCUGAGCUUUUAUCAAAUGCACUCAUGCCACCUUGUGGCCGUUUUUAUGGCGUAUAACCGCUGGAAUUGUGAUCUCUUUUGUUGUGCAAUUGCGUCAUCCCCUCUUUUUGCCUUUUUGUGCCACAAAAAACGUAAAACACUUAUAAAUAUGUCUUUGGGAGCGAGGCUUCAGGUUUUGAAAAAAAAUGUAUAAAUAUGUUGUUGGUAUUGAAUUAAUUAAUUAACAAAUGUUCACAGUUUCAUGGUUGAAUACGGCCUAUUAGUCAAGACUCAUGCAUAUGUACGCAAAUUGUACAUGUUAUUGGCCCAAUAUAAGCAUUUUCAGUCAUAAAAAUGGCCGAAUGAACACAAAUACAAAUAAAAGGCAUGGGAAGUAACUUGUGUGACGUCAGGUAGCUACUAUAGAGUUGCUGAGUGUUAGCACAGGUAGCAGUGUGGAGAGGGCCAGUGACUGGCGUGAGUUGUGGCUGACAGCAGCUCCUGUGUGAACAUUCACUGCACAUGUGUUCUUUGUGCCAUUGCAGUAUUAUUCUACUACGCUGGCCACUAGGUGUCAGGAACAUCACAUUGAUGAGACAAUAGCCACCAUGUAUCCUGUCAGUGCUAAUAUGUGAGUCUAUGUUAUGUCGAAGACGUCUUAUUUUCUUUGACUGUGUCAACUAUAUUGGGUAAUACAAGUUUAAAACUGACUAUGGGGGUGUUAUUUCACGUCUAGAGGGCUCUAAUAAUGCUCAAAACCAUAUUUAGCAGGUCGUAAAACAGGUUUUCUAAGCUGUAACUACAAAAAUAUUCUCUUUAUAGAUAAGGAAUUGUAUUUUGUGGAAAUGCACUUAUCGUGGUCGGGUCUGGAACCAAUUAACCGCAAUAAACAAGAGACAACUGUAUAAUUUUGUUAUAAUAAUCAUAUCUGUCAAUGUUUUGAAUAGCCGUCAAACAGUGCCUCUGUUGGUUGCAGCAAAGUUCUGCACUCUCUCUUCUACUUUUUCGAUGUGAUUAAUCAACAAUCAACUGCACACAACCGACUAAAUUCAAUAUUAAUGAUUAUUCCUAAUUUGUAAUCUACAUGAAUUUACCAUGAGCAACUAUAAAUAUAUAGAGUGAGGUGGUUUCACUCCAUAUCCAGCACAUCGAAAUUGGCAAAAGUUCCCACUUCUGUUGGGAUUUGUCCCUCCCUGCUCUCAUUUUCUGUUCUUCUCUAACCUUUAGCUGCAUUGAUGGAGUUUUUCUUAAUAAUCUUUCCAAAGGUCCAGUCUAUUCCGUUUCAUGCAAGCUUUUCAUGCAUGUUGAUAAAACAGAAGAUCAAUCAUUCACAUCCAUGGACCGCAAAUCUGAGAGACUGCAAAUCAAUAGAUGUCAGCCUCUGCAUCCAUGGAGAUAAUCACGUCUGUAUUUGCUUUCAUCUCUCACAUGCAAAGGCACAAUGCCGCAUUAAUGAUGAAUUGCUACGUAUGAUGUAAGGGACGUCAUAAGCUUUGCAUGAAAAUGCAGAGCGAGCUAGAACGGCAUUCAGAGUAACACAUUCCAGAAACCACAGUGUUAAAAAUAAUGUUCAAAAUAAAAAACAUUCUUAUGUAUUUUAAUUCAUCCGUCCAUCCAUACUGUAAUGCGGGUGGCCAGAGCCCAUGCCAGCUGUCCAGUAUUUUCUGGGUUAAACACCAAAACUCGAUUAUUAUUGGAUAAUGCGGUAGCCUACGCGGGUCAUUGGGAGGUCAAAAAGUAAAAUUCCCUGCUUUAAUCAAAUAGGCAGCUAACUAAUUUUGCAGAGCCAACCCUUUUGACGAAGAAGGUGGCGCAAAGAAAGAAAGACAAGGAGUACGGUGCAAAACCGUGCAGCACCAGAAGUCGCAUUAAUGGUGAGAAGUAUUUUAUUUAUUAUUGGACAGCUUCAGUAUAACAAUGUUAAUAAAAAGAACAUUGUUUGUCUUGCUUAAAAAUGCAUGCAUUUAGUUGUGUUCGGUGUUUAGUUGUGCUCUAAACUGUGCUGCUGAUGUUGACACUUGGGUUGUUUUCAGGACAUGUGCGCAUGUGUGUUGUUUCAUGUGUUGUUUGCUCACCUCCCCAGCUUUUGAGCUCUUUUUUCUAGCAGGUCGCCGGUAUGUGUGAGUCACGGGAAGAAAAGCACUGACGUAGGUAGAAGCAAAUAUGUAAGACAGCAUCUUUUUCAGACUUUUUUUUGUGGGGUACUCGAUUCACAAUUACAAUGCUUCUUCUGCCUUGUGUUUGUAUUUUAGUUCAUUUAGUUAGUUAAUUCAGCCAUUUUUAUGCUUGAAAAUGCUUAAUUUAGACCAAGAACAAGCGCAAUUUGCAUAAAUAUGCUUAUUUGUACUAAUAAUAGGCUGUAUUCAACCACAAAACAGUGAUCAUUUAAUCGAUUUUUGAAAACCAGCGAGGGAGCGAUAAUCAAACUGCAAUGUUGCGAGGCACGAUUGGAUGUCAACGUCUUUGAAUGCGUCGUUUCAAUGCCUUAUGUUUGUAAUUUAGUUCACUUAGACAUUUAUACGCUUGAAAAUGCUUAACUUAGGCCAAGAAUAAGUACAAUUUGCACAAGUAUGUUUUUUAAAAAUUAAUAAUAGGCCAUAUUCAACGACAAAACAAUGAUCAUUUAUUAAUUAAUUUUUGAAAGCCCGUGAGGGAGCGA